Long non-coding RNA from Dendroctonus ponderosae (mountain pine beetle), 2223 nucleotides. RefSeq lists it as uncharacterized. The record is from RefSeq and is a predicted model, not a curated record. The transcript has 2 exons. Lineage: Eukaryota; Metazoa; Arthropoda; Insecta; Coleoptera; Curculionidae.
AUUAAUACCCGUACAGGUAUUAGAAAUAUGAACAUAUUUUAACUCGCACAGACAACAUAGACAACAUAGCAAAUCAAGAAUAAUAUCCAGCCGCGUUGCUCCGCAAGUUGAAAAAGGACAGAACUGAUCUAACCGACGCUUAUUUUAUUUUCUCUGUGUCCUGCACGUUUCGUCCAUUCCCAGAACUUCUUGGCCGAAAAAUCGAGAUUUUAGUGCUGUCAGUCGCCGGUCAGCCAGCUGAAGCGCUACCUGCGAAGCGCGGUGACAAGGAAGCCCCAAAGAUAACUAGCGCAUAUAUGCUAACUUGACUCGUUGUUUAAAUGACAUGCGCAAGUUGGUUUGAGGUUACGUUAAGCAAAGUGUGGGCUUUCUUGUGUCACACAAUAAAACACACUUUAAAUAAACAACUUUUGAUCAAUUAACAAUAAAUAGAGAGUAAGCGGGAUGUGCGCGCGCGAAAGUGCAAAAGGAGACUCCCUGUUGACAAGGGACGCUGAGCGUCUCUUCUUGGGCGUAGAUUUGUAAAUGUUUCUUAAAGUUUGGGCACGAACAUCGUUAGACACGUUUGAACUAUUAUUUAAAAAAGCAGAAAACAAUAAGAAACAAACAAGAUCUAAGACUAUUAAACUCCAAGAAUCCAAAUCUUUACUGCGAUGAAAUAAGCAUGAAUUUCAGCAACAGCCACUGAACUAAAAAGGUGCUAGAAUCCACAAGAAACAGUAUUUUUCUGUGGUUAUAACUUCGUUCGCAAUGAAUGUAUCAAACCGGCAUCGCGGCAGUGAUACGCGCAAGCGCAAUCAGUCAGGACUGGUGCGGACGGUUAAGAAAAAAAUAUCUGCGCACCGUUAAGAAAACGCAUGUAUUAAAUAAGUGCUUUAUGUUAGAUUGCGAGUUUUGCAAAAUUUGUAUACAACAGUUGCAGUUGUUCAGACUAUUAUGUAAAUAAUGUUAUAUGCAAACACAUACAUUUUGUUGUAUUACGAAACAAUAUUAUUAAAUCACAUUCUCCAACGAUAUAUGCAAAUGAGCAUAAUGUGGUUGAUUAUUGCUUAAGUUUCUUAAGCAGAACGAAUGAUAAUCGAGUGGGUAAGAAAAACAAAAGGAUGAAAAAAACACAGCAGAUUUUGCAGUUUUUGUAAAUAGCCAUGAUCUAUCUUACUUAAGUGACAGCAAUUUUCAGGCUAUUAUUUCAAAUAUAAGUGCAACAAAAAAUAUAUUAAAAAAUUCAUCUCAGUCAUCUCAUCAGGAAAAUAAUUUUAAAGACGUUUCAAUUACUUCUACAUGUAAAAAUAUAGACCAACAAAAACGAUUUUUUUCUUCUAAAAAUAAAAGAAAAGGUCACGUAAUUCUGAUUCUGUUUUUAAAACCCCCAUUUAGAUGAAAUUAUGAAUAUAUCCAAUUUAACGAUGAAAACGACUUAAACAAAAUAAUUCUAAAUCAAUAACAUUUCAAUAUUAUUAAACACACGAAUGACAUGUUUCACCUGAACACGACUUUUUGAGUAAACCGCUUUGUCAUCUGGAAUAAUAAGAACUUUUAAGAACACUUAACCAAUCAGAUUAUGGAAUUUUUAGCGGUUUUUAACGUCUCAUCAAUGCACUCAAGUCAAGUCAAGCCUGUGUAAAAUUUUGAUUUGAAAAAGUUGUGUUGGUAUUAAAGUUUUAUUAAAUAGAACAAAUAUGAAUUCGGAGUGGAGCUAUUCUCAUUGUGCGAAAGUUUUUAGCCGGAAGUCUAGUUAGAAACGUCACAUGGAAAUUAAGCAUCCGGAAUUGAAGAUAGCCGAUAUUUUUCCUGGAAAAAAGUUUCAAUGUAAAUCCUAUUCAAAACAAUUCAAUAAGAAGUCUCAUAUUAGUCAUGGACGAAAGGUUCAUGAAGAUGUUAAAGUACAUCGUUUGAUAGAAUGCUCUUUGUGUUAUUUCAAUCAUUAUCUCAAAAAUGAAAUGUUAUCUCACAUGGAGCAAAUGCACAAUUUAAAUCUUAUUUCGGUAAAACAUUUUAGAAGCAAAGACGAAUUUUUACAAUUCAAACUGAAAGAAGAAUCUGAAUAAAAAUGGUUCUUUAUGAAACUAGGGGGAAGCAAAAAGGAGCGAGUAACGAGAUCUCAGAUAUUUGUGUGUAAUCGAUCUCUAUACUAUGUCCCGACAGGUUGUUCAAUGAGAACUUUAAAGACUCAAGGCAGUUGCAGAAUUAACGCCUUCUGUCCAGCAUCUAUAAAAUACAGGG